UGAAUACGAGAUGCUACGGCGUCGAAGCAGUCUAUGUCAUACUUCCAAGAAAAGCUUGCACUGUCAUAAACAAAUAAUGCCUGUACCAUAACCGACACAGGUGGGUAGGUAGAGUAUACUAAGGGGCGCGAGAUAACUCUCUCUAAGGAACUCGGCAAAAUGACUCCGUAACUUCGGGAGAAGGAGUGCCUUAUUUAUAAGGUUGCAAUAACAAGACCCAAGCAACUGUUUAUCAAAAACACAGGUCUCCGCUAAGUCGUAAGACGAUGUAUGGGGGCUGACGCCUGCCCAGUGCCAGAAGGUUAAAGAAGUUGGUUAGCAUUAGCGAAGCUGAUGACUGAAGCCCUGGUGAACGGCGGCCGUAACAAUAACGGUCCUAAGGUAGCGAAAUUCCUUGUCGGGUAAGUUCCGACCCGCACGAAAGGCGUAAUGAUUUGGGUACUGUCUCAGAGAGGGACUCGGUGAAAUAGACUUGUCUGUGAAGAUGCGGACUACCUGCACCUGGACAGAAAGACCCUAUGAAGCUUUACUGUAACCUGAAAUUGAAAUUGGACUUUAUUUGCGCAGUAUAGGUGGGAGGCUUUGAAGAUAUUCUUGCGGGAAUGUUGGAGCCAUCAGUGAGAUACCACUCUUGUAAUGUUAGAUUUCUAACUUUGUAUCAUUAUCUGGUCAAAGAACAGUUUCAGGCGGGCAGUUUGACUGGGGCGGUCGCCUCCUAAACGGUAACGGAGGCGCACAAAGGUUUCCUCUGAACGGGUAGAAAUCGUAUCUAGAGUGUAAAGGCAUAAGGAAGCUUGACUGUGAGACCUACAAGUCGAGCAGGGACGAAAGUCGGUCUUAGUGAUCUGACGGUGCUGAGUGGAAAGGCCGUCACUCAACGGAUAAAAGUUACUCUAAGGAUAACAGGCUGAUCUCCCCCAAGAGUUCACAUCGACGGGGAGGUUUGGCACCUCGAUGUCGGCUCAUCGCAUCCUGGGGCGGUAGUACGUCCCAAGGGUUGGGCUGUUCGCCCAUGAAAGCGGUACGCGAGCUGGGUUCAGAACGUCGUGAGACAGUUCGGUCCAUAUCCGGUGUAGGCGUUAGAAUAUUGAGAGGAGCCUUCUCUAGUACGAGAGGACCGAGAAGGACACACCUCUGGUGUACCAGUUAUCGUGCCAACGGUAAACGCUGGGUAGCUAUGUGUGGAGCGGAUAACCGCUGAAAGCAUCUAAGUGGGAAGCCCACCUCAAGAUAAGUAUUCUC
This 1242-nucleotide ribosomal RNA is filed under the name metagenome. Its description in RNAcentral is "bacterial LSU rRNA". It matches the Rfam family "Bacterial large subunit ribosomal RNA", at positions 1564 to 2815 of the family's 2925-position model. The record is from RNAcentral.